UAGUCCACGCUCCGAGCCAACGAUCAGAGUUUCCUUCUUUUAGCGCCAGGCCAACAUCCUAGGUCGGAUCUGAUACUGCCCCCAGACUCGGUGCCCGACGGCUUUCAGAUUAACCAGGACCGCCCAACCCGCGUUCCUUUGCGCUCCGCGGUCCUGAGGGCAAACGCACCACCCCAGCUCGCCCGAGGGGACUGGCUCCCAACCUCACCGCGCCGCUCUGCGCACCUCCAGCCCGAGAAAACCGGCCUUUCCCGCGCCGCUACCAACGUGGACAUGGCAAAGAAAAGAAAUACCUAGGCGCUGCUCCGAGAUUUUCGCUGUCAAGAUCCCAGGAAGCUCACUCGCCGCCACACGGAGGCUGACAGGAGGAAGUCGGGGGUCAGCGAGCGCCGCCCUAACCGCACCAGCCGCGCUCGCCCCCCGCCCAGCACGCCCGUGCUUCCGGCUCUCACCCCCUCCCUUGCCCCAUGCCCGGCAUCCUGAGAAGUGCUUCGCACCGGGCAGUCACCACACACCACACAAACGGAGAAGGGACGCUCCUCGACGCCGCAGUCUCCGCACGGCCUACCAGGCCCAACACGGCCGGAAGAAAAUGGAGACCACACUCCCCUCCGGUCCGGACAAACCGAUGCACCGUCUCUCUGCUCAUGCGCAAUCCAGGCCCAACCAGCCACCCCUUGGCGCUCUGAACGCGCGUGCGCAGACGUACUGCUUCGGUUACAGUGAUUGGCGGGUCUCAGCGGACUCACCGAGGAGGCUGCUGGGGAGCUGGAGACUGCGGACCCAGGAUAUGGGUACCAUGGUGACGCGUACAAGGCCUGUGGCGGCCAUGGCGGUCAGAUCUCGUUCUUCAUCCCGGACUGGCACCGCCUACCUUCUCUUAGUUCUCUGCGAAGUCUCAUGGGCACAAAUCUUCUCCUUCCCUUUCCGGCGGCCUGAGACCUGCGACUUCAACCAGUACUUUGACAUCUCGGCGCUCUCCUGUGCCCCCUGUGGCGCCAACCAGCGGCGGGAUGCACUAGGAACUUCCUGUGUAUGUCUACCAGGAUAUCAUAUGAUCUCUAAUAAUGGAGGACCUUCUAUUAUUUGUAAAAAGUGUCCAGAAAACAUGAAAGGCGUUACUAAAGAUGGCUGGGACUGCAUUUCUUGUCCUAGUGGCUUAACUGCUGAGGGGAAGUGCCACUGUCCCACUGGCCAUAUAUUAGUGGAAAGAAAUGUUAGUGGGUCUUUGUUAGCCCAAGCAACUUGCGAGCUUUGUGAUGAAAGUGAAAACUCAUUUACAAAAGCCAAUGCUUUAGGAACCAGGUGUGUCCGCUGCGAACCAACAUUUGUGAAUACAAGCAGGUCCUGUUCAUGUUCAGAGCCUCACACUUUAACAGGUGGAUUAUGUUUCAGCAACACAGGGAAUUUUCAUCAACGUGUAAUUUCCACUGCACGUUAUGGAGAGCUUGGCAUGUCAUUAAAUUCAGAAUGGUUUGCCAAGUAUUUGCAGGCAACAGCAGCUGCAUGCUGGACUCACGCCAACCUGACAUCGUGCCAAGCUCUUGGAAAUAUGUGCGUGAUGAACAUGAACUCUUACGACUCGACCACACUCGAUGCUUGUCGACUGUUCCAUUACAUCUUUGAAAGCACUGCUGGAUUGAUCAGUGUGCAUUCUGUUCCAUUCUGGAGACAGAACCUUCCUUGGCUGUUCUAUGGAGACCAGCCAGGAUUGGCUCCUCAAGUUCUCAGUACUACACCUCUUCCUACAAAUUUCAGUUUUAAAGGACAAAACCAGCUGAAGUUUGUUGCUGCUUCCUAUGAUAUACGAGGAAACUUCAUCAAAUGGCAACCUUUAGAAGGUGGUGUUUUACAGCUUUGUCCAGACACUGAGAGAAGGCUGGAUGCAGCGUAUGCUUUUGGAACAACGUACCAGCAAAAUUGUGAAAUCUCUCUCUCUAAACUCCUGGUUGACUUCAGCAGCCCUGUAUUUUAUGAUGUUUACCUCGAAUACACUGAUGAAGAGCAGCACCGUUACCUUUGGCCUAUCCCAGUGUUAAACCUAAAUCUUCAACACAACAAACUGUUUGUGAACCAAGACAGUAGCUCCAGCAAGUGGCUUCUGACUCGGCGCAUUUUCUUAGUGGAUGCAGUAAGUGGGCGAGAAAAUGACCUAGGAAAUCAGCCAAGAGUAAUUCGAGUUGCUACCCAGAUUUCACUGAGCAUACGCCUUGUACCCAACACAAAAAAUGGAAACAUAUACACUCCCCUACUUACCAUUGCCUACAGUGACAUUGACAUCAAAAAUGCUCAUAGCCAGUCUGCGAAGCCCUGACAAAGGCUGUGUUUGAGUUUUGAGCACCCAGCUGUCCUUCACAUAUGUGACAUGUCCUCGGUAGCCUCAGCAGCUGGGUCCACUUCCUGACUCACCAAGCAGAUUUCCUUCUCAGUGAAGUAUGAGAUGAAUCAAGGAGACGCAUCUGUGCACACAGAUAUUGCGUUGGGUGUGUUGGGUGGGCUGGCUGUGCUAUCAUCUCUUUUGAAGACAGCGGGAUGGAAGAGGCGCAUCGGGAGCCCCAUGAUUGAUUUACAGACAGUUAUGAAAUUCCUGCUGUACUAUGCUGGUGAUCUGGCCAAUGUGUUUUUUAUCAUCACAGUGGGAACAGGUCUUUAUUGGCUUAUUUUCUUCAAAGCACAGAAGUCAGUCUCUGUUUUGCUGCCGAUGCCAGUUCAGGAAGAACGUUUCGUUACUUAUGUGGGGUGCGCCUUUGCUAUGAAGGCUCUCCAGUUUUUACAUAAGUUCAUAUCCCAGAUUUCCAUAGAUAUAUUCUUUAUUGAUUGGGAACGGCCGAAAGGAAAAGUUCUUAAAGCUGUUGAAGGUGAGGGUGGUGUGCGGAGUGCCACUGUUCCUGUGAGCAUAUGGAGAACGUAUUUCGUGGCAAAUGAAUGGAAUGAGAUUCAGACUGUGAGAAAAAUUAAUCCACUCUUUCAAGUGCUUACCACACUCUUCUUCUUGGAGGUUGUGGGAUUCAAAAAUUUAGCGUUAAUGGAUUCAUCCUCCAGCCUUUCUAGAAACCCAUCAGACUACACAGCUCCUUACAGCCGCAUUCUGAGAUAUGCCGUGGCUACUGCUAUCUGGCUGGUGAUUGGAAUAAUACAGGUUGUUUUCUUUGCUGCCUUUUAUGAGAGAUUCAUAGAAGACAAAAUCCGGCAGUUUGUUGACCUGUGCUCCAUGAGUAAUGUGUCAGUGUUCCUGCUGUCCCACAGAUGUUUUGGAUAUUACAUUCAUGGGAGGUCAGUCCACGGCCAUGCAGACACUAACAUGGAGGAAAUGAAUAUGAACCUUAAGAGAGAGGCGGAAAAUUUGUGCAGCCAAAGAGGUUUGGUGCCCAACACGGAUGGGCAGACGUUUCAGAUUGCAGUUUCUAGUCAGAUGAGACAACACUAUGACAGGAUUCAUGAGACUUUAACAAGGAGAAAUGGCCCUGCCAGACUGCUGAGUUCGUCGGGGAGUACUUUUGAACAAAGCAUCAAAGCAUACCACGCAAUGAAUAAGUUCCUUGGCUCUUUCAUUGACCACGUUCAUAAGGAAAUGGAUUACUUUAUAAAAGAUAAGUUGCUUCUUGAAAGAAUCCUUGGGAUGGAAUUCAUGGAGCCCAUGGAGAAGAGCAUCUUCUAUAAUGAUGAAGGCCAUUCUUUCAGCAGUGUGCUGUAUUAUGGGAACGAGGCCACGCUCCUCAUCUUUGAUCUGUUGUUCUUCUGUGUUGUGGAUUUGGCUUGCCAGGACUUUGUUUUAGCAUCCUUCCUCACAUACCUGCAACAAGAGAUUUUCCGAUUUAUCCGAAAUACAGUAGGACAAAAGAAUUUGGCAACCAAAACACUAGUGGAUGAAAGAUUUCUGAUCUAAUCUGUGAAUACAGAACUUAAGGACUCAGUAUAAUAUGGCCAAGACUUGAUGUUGCUAUAUUUUUUAAAACUUGUAAUACAUAUUAUUCUCCCAUUUUUUAUCUACAGAAAGAUUUAUUUUUAUAGCUUGUGAAAUAUGAAAUAUAGUAAAAACACUCUUUCCCCAUUAUAUGUUGUAUUUAAUUUACUAAAUAGUACAUUAACACUGACCAGGAGGCAAACAUACAAACAAACAAAAACAAACAAGCCCCUCCCAGCCCCACUUUCUGUGCUGUCCCGGGUCUUGACAGCAGGCUGAAACUUGCCAUUGUUUCAGAACAUGACCUGCCUGCUUUUCCUCACGGUGUCAAAUCUAUUUGAUUCUAGGCUCAAAACUACAGUUCUGCUCCGUAUUUUCAUGUUUUAUUUAUAUUCAAGGUUAAAUAAAUUUCAAAAGGUAUUUUCAAAUUUACUUAAAA
Molecule: RNA transcript, 4343 nt
Organism: Mus musculus (house mouse)
Lineage: Eukaryota; Metazoa; Chordata; Mammalia; Rodentia; Muridae
Gene: Tmem67
Gene name: transmembrane protein 67
Exons: 30
Source: RefSeq, marked validated